CGAACGGGUGAGUAACGCGUGAGUAACCUGCCUUACACAAGGGGAUAGCCUUUGGAAACGAAGAAUAAUACCCUAUAAAACUAUAAAAGCACAUGCUAGAAUGGUCAAAGUGCUAGCGGUGUAAGAUGGACUUGCGUCUGAUUAGCUAGUUGGUGAGAUAAAAGCUCACCAAGGCAACGAUCAGUAGCCGGCUUGAGAGAGUGUACGGCCACAUUGGGACUUAGACACGGCCCAG
RNAcentral lists this ribosomal RNA (235 nucleotides) under uncultured Eubacteriales bacterium. RNAcentral describes it as "uncultured Clostridiales bacterium partial 16S ribosomal RNA". It matches the Rfam family "Bacterial small subunit ribosomal RNA", at positions 99 to 334 of the family's 1533-position model. Lineage: Bacteria; Bacillati; Bacillota; Clostridia; Eubacteriales. The record is from RNAcentral.